GGGCCAGUGGCGCAACGGAUAACGCGCCUGACUACGAAUCAGGAGAUUGCAGGUUCGAAUCCUGCCUGGCUCG
This 73-nucleotide transfer RNA is filed under the name Sarcoptes scabiei. Its description in RNAcentral is "tRNA-Arg for anticodon ACG". It matches the Rfam family "tRNA". Rfam says of the family: Transfer RNA (tRNA) molecules are approximately 80 nucleotides in length. Their secondary structure includes four short double-helical elements and three loops (D, anti-codon, and T loops). The record is from Rfam by way of RNAcentral. Lineage: Eukaryota; Metazoa; Arthropoda; Arachnida; Sarcoptiformes; Sarcoptidae.